AAACAUCCGCCGGUAGAACGGAAAUCAUUGAUGUUGAUUAAUAUGAAAGUUAAGUAUUACAUUUUCGGUGUUUA
This 74-nucleotide transfer RNA is filed under the name Physella acuta. The record is from RNAcentral. RNAcentral also lists the same sequence under 1 other name. Lineage: Eukaryota; Metazoa; Mollusca; Gastropoda; Physidae.